RNAcentral lists this ribosomal RNA (253 nucleotides) under uncultured bacterium. RNAcentral's name for it is "partial 16S ribosomal RNA". It matches the Rfam family "Bacterial small subunit ribosomal RNA", at positions 524 to 776 of the family's 1533-position model. The record is from RNAcentral.
UACGAAGGGUGCAAGCGUUACUCGGAAUUACUGGGCGUAAAGGGUGCGUAGGUGGUUGUUUAAGUCUGUUGUGAAAGCCCCGGGCUCAACCUGGGAAUGGCAAUGGAUACUGGACAGCUAGAGUGCGGUAGAGGGUAGUGGAAUUCCCGGUGUAGCAGUGAAAUGCGUAGAGAUGCGGAGGAACACCGAUGGCGAAGGCAGCCCCCUGGGCCAACACUGACGCUCAGGCACGAAAGCGUGGGGAGCAAACAGG